This 1364-nucleotide ribosomal RNA is filed under the name uncultured Klebsiella sp. RNAcentral describes it as "bacterial SSU rRNA". It matches the Rfam family "Bacterial small subunit ribosomal RNA", at positions 27 to 1383 of the family's 1533-position model. The record is from RNAcentral. Lineage: Bacteria; Pseudomonadati; Pseudomonadota; Gammaproteobacteria; Enterobacterales; Enterobacteriaceae.
GAUUGAACGCUGGCGGCAGGCCUAACACAUGCAAGUCGAGCGGUAGCACAGAGAGCUUGCUCUCGGGUGACGAGCGGCGGACGGGUGAGUAAUGUCUGGGAAACUGCCUGAUGGAGGGGGAUAACUACUGGAAACGGUAGCUAAUACCGCAUAAUGUCGCAAGACCAAAGUGGGGGACCUUCGGGCCUCAUGCCAUCAGAUGUGCCCAGAUGGGAUUAGCUAGUAGGUGGGGUAACGGCUCACCUAGGCGACGAUCCCUAGCUGGUCUGAGAGGAUGACCAGCCACACUGGAACUGAGACACGGUCCAGACUCCUACGGGAGGCAGCAGUGGGGAAUAUUGCACAAUGGGCGCAAGCCUGAUGCAGCCAUGCCGCGUGUGUGAAGAAGGCCUUCGGGUUGUAAAGCACUUUCAGCGGGGAGGAAGGCGGUGAGGUUAAUAACCUCAUCGAUUGACGUUACCCGCAGAAGAAGCACCGGCUAACUCCGUGCCAGCAGCCGCGGUAAUACGGAGGGUGCAAGCGUUAAUCGGAAUUACUGGGCGUAAAGCGCACGCAGGCGGUCUGUCAAGUCGGAUGUGAAAUCCCCGGGCUCAACCUGGGAACUGCAUUCGAAACUGGCAGGCUAGAGUCUUGUAGAGGGGGGUAGAAUUCCAGGUGUAGCGGUGAAAUGCGUAGAGAUCUGGAGGAAUACCGGUGGCGAAGGCGGCCCCCUGGACAAAGACUGACGCUCAGGUGCGAAAGCGUGGGGAGCAAACAGGAUUAGAUACCCUGGUAGUCCACGCCGUAAACGAUGUCGAUUUGGAGGUUGUGCCCUUGAGGCGUGGCUUCCGGAGCUAACGCGUUAAAUCGACCGCCUGGGGAGUACGGCCGCAAGGUUAAAACUCAAAUGAAUUGACGGGGGCCCGCACAAGCGGUGGAGCAUGUGGUUUAAUUCGAUGCAACGCGAAGAACCUUACCUGGUCUUGACAUCCACAGAACUUUCCAGAGAUGGAUUGGUGCCUUCGGGAACUGUGCGACAGGUGCUGCAUGGCUGUCGUCAGCUCGUGUUGUGAAAUGUUGGGUUAAGUCCCGCAACGAGCGCAACCCUUAUCCUUUGUUGCCAGCGGUCCGGCCGGGAACUCAAAGGAGACUGCCAGUGAUAAACUGGAGGAAGGUGGGGAUGACGUCAAGUCAUCAUGGCCCUUACGACCAGGGCUACACACGUGCUACAAUGGCAUAUACAAAGAGAAGCGACCUCGCGAGAGCAAGCGGACCUCAUAAAGUAUGUCGUAGUCCGGAUUGGAGUCUGCAACUCGACUCCAUGAAGUCGGAAUCGCUAGUAAUCGUAGAUCAGAAUGCUACGGUGAAUACGUUCCCGGGCCUUG